RNAcentral lists this ribosomal RNA (448 nucleotides) under uncultured bacterium. RNAcentral's name for it is "bacterial SSU rRNA". It matches the Rfam family "Bacterial small subunit ribosomal RNA", at positions 335 to 798 of the family's 1533-position model. The record is from RNAcentral.
ACUCCUACGGGAGGCAGCAGUGGGGAAUCUUGGACAAUGGGGGCAACCCUGAUCCAGCCAUGCCGCGUGAGUGAUGAAGGCCUUAGGGUCGUAAAGCUCUUUCGCCUGUGAAGAUAAUGACGGUAGCAGGUAAAGAAACCCCGGCUAACUCCGUGCCAGCAGCCGCGGUAAUACGGAGGGGUUAGCGUUGUUCGGAAUUACUGGGGCGUAAAGCGCACGUAGGCGGAUCGGAAAGUUGGGGGUGAAAUCCCGGGGCUCAACCCCGGAACUGCCUCCAAAACUAUCGGUCUAGAGUUCGAGAGAGGUGAGUGGAAUUCCGAGUGUAGAGGUGAAAUUCGUAGAUAUUCGGAGGAACACCAGUGGCGAAGGCGGCUCACUGGCUCGAUACUGACGCUCAGAUGCGAAAGCGUGGGGAGCAAACAGGAUUAGAUACCCUGGUAGCGACUGA